This is a small nuclear RNA of Ictidomys tridecemlineatus (thirteen-lined ground squirrel), 108 nucleotides long. The record is from Ensembl. NCBI's taxonomy places the organism in Eukaryota, Metazoa, Chordata, Mammalia, Rodentia, Sciuridae.
GUGCUUGCUUUGGCAGCACAUAUACUAAAAUUGGAACUAUAGAGAGAAAGAUUAGCAUGGCCCCUAAACAAGAAUGGCAUGCAAAUUUGUGAAGCAUUCCAUAUUUUU